Molecule: ribosomal RNA, 784 nt
Filed under: Lacticaseibacillus zeae
Lineage: Bacteria; Bacillati; Bacillota; Bacilli; Lactobacillales; Lactobacillaceae
Description: bacterial SSU rRNA
Rfam family: Bacterial small subunit ribosomal RNA
Source: RNAcentral
GAUGAACGCUGGCGGCGUGCCUAAUACAUGCAAGUCGAACGAGUUCUCGUUGAUGAUCGGUGCUUGCACCGAGAUUCAACAUGGAACGAGUGGCGGACGGGUGAGUAACACGUGGGUAACCUGCCCUUAAGUGGGGGAUAACAUUUGGAAACAGAUGCUAAUACCGCAUAGAUCCAAGAACCGCAUGGUUCUUGGCUGAAAGAUGGCGUAAGCUAUCGCUUUUGGAUGGACCCGCGGCGUAUUAGCUAGUUGGUGAGGUAAUGGCUCACCAAGGCGAUGAUACGUAGCCGAACUGAGAGGUUGAUCGGCCACAUUGGGACUGAGACACGGCCCAAACUCCUACGGGAGGCAGCAGUAGGGAAUCUUCCACAAUGGACGCAAGUCUGAUGGAGCAACGCCGCGUGAGUGAAGAAGGCUUUCGGGUCGUAAAACUCUGUUGUUGGAGAAGAAUGGUCGGCAGAGUAACUGUUGUCGGCGUGACGGUAUCCAACCAAAAAGCCACGGCUAACUACGUGCCAGCAGCCGCGGUAAUACGUAGGUGGCAAGCGUUAUCCGGAUUUAUUGGGCGUAAAGCGAGCGCAGGCGGUUUUUUAAGUCUGAUGUGAAAGCCCUCGGCUUAACCGAGGAAGCGCAUCGGAAACUGGGAAACUUGAGUGCAGAAGAGGACAGUGGAACUCCAUGUGUAGCGGUGAAAUGCGUAGAUAUAUGGAAGAACACCAGUGGCGAAGGCGGCUGUCUGGUCUGUAACUGACGCUGAGGCUCGAAAGCAUGGGUAGCGAACAGG